UGCCACCUGAAAAUUGUGUAAAACUUGAAGCAGUACAAGGCUAGAAAUAUUAUCAUCUAUCCAACUGGAAGAAUAACAUUUCCAUUAUUUUCUUCAAUGAAUUAACACAGGGCCUGUCAGAUAUUAAGUAUUGUAUAAAUUAUCAGUCAUUGAUUGGUUGAUUGAUACAGCUUCUAAAAGUGACUAUCUUCUAAGCAGAAAAUCUUUCCAGAGUUGAGAU
RNAcentral lists this long non-coding RNA (220 nucleotides) under Monodelphis domestica (gray short-tailed opossum). RNAcentral describes it as "lncRNA (ENSMODG00000040144.1)". Lineage: Eukaryota; Metazoa; Chordata; Mammalia; Didelphimorphia; Didelphidae. The record is from RNAcentral.